Molecule: long non-coding RNA, 636 nt
Organism: Homo sapiens (human)
Lineage: Eukaryota; Metazoa; Chordata; Mammalia; Primates; Hominidae
Exons: 2
Source: RefSeq, a predicted model, not a curated record
AGUGGCCCAGCCAUGGACUUGUGGAGGAGACCAUCAUUUGAUGCAGUUGGCCACACUGAAGCUCAGACACGCCAACGUGGUAAUGAGGCAGAACGUGGAUUCCACUCCAUCCUUUUAAGAUUAAAGACAUGCUCAGCAACAGGUGAUACUAGUUCAAGUAUUUACCGGGUUAUGUGCUGGGUGAGCUGGUGAGCCUGCAGUCCCAAAAGGAAGAAAAAGAGAAUGAACGCAGCAGCCAGCUGCGGGAGAAGCAACCGUGCAGCCAUCUCGGGUUGGGGGGCAGGAGGUUUCCCAGGGGAGCUGCCUCCUGGCAGGAAGCGCUGGAAUCCAGCUCAGUAAUUCCCAUGAACUCUGUUUAACACCAGCAAGAUGGGAAAGGAAGGCAGCUGCAGCCCCAGCUGGAGAGCAGGGCCCUGAGGCUGGGCUCUUCCUGGGCACAAGCCUCUGCCCAGAGCUUCCUGGCGGGGCCCUCAGCUCCUCUUCUCCAAGGCCUGGAAACGAGCUCCAUGGGGCUGAGAAUCAUCUCUGUGUGUGGGAGACACAUGGUCAAUCUGAGUAAGCGGAAAAAAUGGUAUCAAUAUAAAAGUAAGAUAUAAACACAACUCCUCAACAAAAUUAAAACCCACAGAAAGGGAA